This 423-nucleotide ribosomal RNA is filed under the name uncultured bacterium. Its description in RNAcentral is "bacterial SSU rRNA". It matches the Rfam family "Bacterial small subunit ribosomal RNA", at positions 355 to 776 of the family's 1533-position model. The record is from RNAcentral.
UAGGGAAUAUUGGUCAAUGGAGGCAACUCUGAACCAGCCAUGCCGCGUGUAGGAAGAAGGCGUUCUGCGUUGUAAACUACUUUUGAUUGGGAACAAAUGACUCUUGCGAGAGUAGCUGAGUGUACCAAUAGAAUAAGCCACGGCUAACUACGUGCCAGCAGCCGCGGUAAUACGUAGGUGGCAAGCGUUGUCCGGAUUUAUUGGGUUUAAAGGGUGCGUAGGCGGCUUAAUAAGUCAGUGGUGAAAGCCGAUCGCUUAACGAUCGAACUGCCAUUGAUACUGCUAGGCUUGAGUAUAGUUGAGGUAGGCGGAAUUGACAGUGUAGCGGUGAAAUGCAUAGAUAUUGUCAAGAACACCAAUUGCGAAGGCAGCUUACUAAAGUAUAACUGACGCUGAGGCACGAAAGUGCGGGGAUCAAACAGG